Molecule: unclassified non-coding RNA, 1499 nt
Filed under: Dermacentor andersoni
Lineage: Eukaryota; Metazoa; Arthropoda; Arachnida; Ixodida; Ixodidae
Description: uncharacterized LOC126541667
Source: RNAcentral
UAGCGUCUGAAUUUACAAGUACGCAGUUCACCACCAGUGGCGCUUUGAUUGCUACCGGCAAACCGGCGCCGGCGUCAUUUCUUUCCCGUCAUUCAUCGCAUUUCUUUCAUUUGGUUGUCCGUGUAGAAUUCCGGCAAAAAUUCAACCGUGAAAGAUGGAUGGUGGAGGAAUGCGUGGUAGAGGAGGCUACUCCAGAGGGAUGAGCCGAGGGGACUUCACAAGAGGCCGUGGUGGACCCACCAGAGGCCGCGGUGGACCGCCUGGUGCUUUCCGAGGUGCGCCACGAGGAGGCGGGGAAUUCCAAGGGCAUGGGCGGGGUGACUUCACACCACGAGGUCGCGGAGAUUUCUCACGAGGUCGGGGUGGUGCUGGUGACUUCUCUUCGCGAGGCACUGGAGAGUUUGUCCCCCGAGGUCGGGGCUUUACGCCGCGUGGACGUGGGGGGCCUCCCACACGUGGUGACUUCACACCAAGGGGCCGUGGAGACUUUGCACCAAGAGGUCGUGGGGACUUCGCACCAAGGGGCCGCGGGGACUUCGCACCAAGGGGCCGUGGAGACUUCACACCAAGGGGCCGCGGUGACUUCGCACCACGGGGCCGCGGAGACUUCGCACCAAGGGGCCGUGGAGAUUUUGCACCCCGUGGAAGGGGUGACUUCAACACUGCGAGGGGAGGUGGCUUUGUGGGAGGACCACCUGUAGCUGGUGGACCACCAAUGCGUGGAGGGCCUGCCUUAAGGGGAGAUGCCCCACCGGGAGUUGGCCAUGGCAUGCUACCACCACGUGGUGGCAUGGGGGCUGGAGGACCACCUGCUAAGCGGGGUCGCUGGGAGGGACCCCCGAAUACGGGAGCUUCCUAUCAGGACAACUACUACAACAACGGAGCAAGCCAAGAUUAUGGUAACACUGGUGGCUAUGACGAUGGCUAUGGACAAGCACCUGUCAGUCGGAGCACCUACCAGGACUCGUAUGCAGCACCUUCAGACAUGAUGGGCAAUGGCUAUCAGGGUCCCGGAGUUGGAGUAGGUGGCAACGCAGGCGGCUAUGGCGAAGGUGCUGGUGGCUACAACACCGAUUACAACAAGCCCCCAAUGGAGAGGGGAGGUGGUGACUUCAGAAGUGGUGGUGCUGGCUAUGCACCCCCCGUUGGUGGCGUCGGUGGCGGUGGCGGCUACGCCAGCAGCUACGACGACAGGGGUUAUGGGGGAAGGCAAGAUGGUGGCUACGGGGGAGGACGCCCAGCGGCUGACAACUUCAGUGGAGGUUGAAGCACCUUUCCUGUGAACGAGUGAGCAUCAAUAUUCUAUAGGGAUGUGCAUCAUUGGUGGAGAGCCAAUUGGAACUGAGUCCCACUGCACAUCAGAACUGGUAAGGCAACAUUGUGUGAUGGCAGCCUGUCAACCAUGUUGGCCUGGCAAGGUCCCCAAGACCGGCAAUGGGCACAAGUCCCCUGUAGCACCUUAAUUGCUCGUGUCAAAAAUAAAGAUCAUAUGGAGGUUU